ACAUUUUGAUUGACGGAUAAAAAUGGUUACAGAAAACCCCUUAAUUUCCAAAAGAAGUUGCUUAAAUACGUUUCUGGAUAAUAAUCGACAAAAUCAAAAACAAUUAAUUGGAGAGGCAAACGAACAGGACGCAUUUUCAGAUGAUUCUAAUCGUCGAAUUAAAUUUAUUGCAUGGUUAAUGGUUCAAUUACAUGAAGAAACCGAUUUUUUACGUUUUUUCUGUUGGACCGACGAAUCAAAAUAGCUGCAUCCAAAUUGGGUCCCGAAUUUAAAAUUACUACAUCAGUUGGGUUCUGAAUUAUUUUAGGAACUCAUAAUACAAUCCCGCUGGAUUUAAAAACUACCAGAUGUUUGAUUAUGACAAUUUAAACGGUGGUAACUUUAAUUCAUAAUUAUACAAUGGUACUUAUACACAAUAGCGCCUAUGUAUUUUGCAAGCAACCACUGUCAGCAACAGCUGACCGCCAAAAAUGUCUAACGAAACCACGCGGACAGACUGUUAAGCACUGCUCUAGCAGCGAUUAGGUUGUAACGCGUUGU
Molecule: long non-coding RNA, 540 nt
Filed under: Sipha flava (yellow sugarcane aphid)
Lineage: Eukaryota; Metazoa; Arthropoda; Insecta; Hemiptera; Aphididae
Description: uncharacterized LOC112684283, transcript variant X1
Source: RNAcentral